AUUGAACGCUGGCGGCAUGCCUUACACAUGCAAGUCGAACGGCAGCACGGGAGCAAUCCUGGUGGCGAGUGGCGAACGGGUGAGUAAUACAUCGGGACGUGCCCAGUAGUGGGGGAUAGCCCGGCGAAAGCCGGAUUAAUACCGCAUGAGACCUGAGGGUGAAAGCGGGGGAUCGCAAGACCUCGCGCUAUUGGAGCGGCCGAUGUCAGAUUAGCUAGUUGGUGGGGUAAAGGCCUACCAAGGCAACGAUCUGUAGUUGGUCUGAGAGGACGACCAGCCACACUGGGACUGAGACACGGCCCAGACUCCUACGGGAGGCAGCAGUGGGGAAUUUUGGACAAUGGGCGCAAGCCUGAUCCAGCAAUGCCGCGUGCAGGAAGAAGGCCUUCGGGUUGUAAACUGCUUUUGUCAGGGAAGAAAUCCUCUGGGUUAAUACCUCGGGGGGAUGACGGUACCUGAAGAAUAAGCACCGGCUAACUACGUGCCAGCCGCCGCAGUAA
Molecule: ribosomal RNA, 500 nt
Filed under: uncultured bacterium
Lineage: Bacteria
Description: partial 16S ribosomal RNA
Rfam family: Bacterial small subunit ribosomal RNA
Source: RNAcentral